CAGACAAAUACAUGCAAAGUGAAGCCUGGAAACACUGUUAAUCAGAGCACGCUUCAAAAAACAAGUGGACAGAAUUAGGCAGAAGGAAAUUCUGUGAUUGUUAGACUGACAUAUUUAUUUAUAAGUGUUAAGAACAAAGUUGUUCAAAGUAGCAGUCUAGAACUAAGAUCCUAAACCUGGACAGAAGUUCUGGAGAAAGUAGGUGAGGAGUCUGUUAAGACAGUGGGUACGUGACAAUCUGAAAACAUGAGUGUACAUUUGGGUGCCUGAGGGUGGUUUUAAGAAGUCAGUCUUAAACUCCCAUCUACUAAUGAAAUCAAACUGAGAAAACGAUGUAAUUUAAUAUCACGAACCUUUCCUUUUUUAACAGGGAUCACACGUAUGGAAGUUGUGGAUAGACCAGAAGAGAAAGGGAGGGAAUACUCCUAUUACUGACAAAUACAUUUGCAGGAGGUAACACGAUGUGCAGGUGGUGGUGUAUCCGGGACGUGCCACGAUACGGCAGCUCGAAAUACUUUGGUGGACAGCACAUGUACAGUGUGUGAAAACAUGCUUCGUGGUACCAGAGGAAAGUGACUUUGGGAUGGAGUCUGCCAAAAUGUGCACACAGGGGCAGAGCUGCUGAAGGAGCAGUAGAGCAAGCUGUCAACAACCAUACUGACACCCUGCGAAGACGGCUGUCACCGCUGUUGGAACAGCAGACAUGGUGCUUUCAUCCGAAAGCUAAAAAGACCAGAGUAGUACAGCAUGAAAACCACAGAUAAUGUUGACACCAUCUGUAUCACACUGCAUAGAAGCAGUCUGUCUCAGAGCGGAGUGCUGAAGAGAUGCAAGUGCAGAAAGCCAAAUGAGCUCCCUCACCACUCACUUCACAGCCUGGUGACAGGAGGCCAUGCCUGACAGGGAUUUUAUCCAGAUGGAGACAUCAGCUGACAGCAUUGGAUAUUGCAGUUGUUGCACACCAGCAAGAGGAAAAACUGCUGGAAAAGACAACCUAUUAUUUUAAAAUCAGCAUUGCUGAGUUCCUGCCGUGUGAGUGUGAAGUUAUAGCAGAAACUGGAAUAAGCAACACAGCUGAAAGCAGGUCCACAGCAAACAUCAAAAGCCAGUCACUCAAGAAUCAGUUGUGGGGAGCACCAAAACAAAAUACUUUGCCUGUUUGAAUACCUGUUGGCACGUUUCUUGGCAAGAAGGAAGCCAGACAGGCUGGUGUCAAGAACCAAAACCGUCCAGGAUCAAGGACAUCUUAGGCAAGUCUUGCAACAAGUAACCUUGGAAUAAACCCAAGGCCUCAGCCUGGGCUUCCCUUUGCAGAGGGGAAUUUCUCUGUGCUUCAGCUGCUGCAUACAGAAGGUGCUUGUGUGGCCCAUCCUGAGCUGGGGAAGGGGAAAAGAGGAAUGUAACUAGCCUUUGCAUCCACUGUAGUGGAGAAAGCCCGUGUUACGCUUGCAAACCAUGUUUCUCUGAGGAUCACUGAAAGGUAAUAAAUCCAUCAUUCAUUGUAAUUUGGGCAGAUGUGUUACAGCAGCCGCCUGCAGCACCCUAUCUCUGUGGAGGGAGCCGGGCUAAUCUUUAUAAAACCAGCUUUUUGAAAAGUAGGAAUUAUCCCUAGCUAACAUAAUAUUUAGUUUCAAAACUGUCGCUCCUAGCAGAUAUCUGUUUUUUAACCAUUCUAUUAAAUAAGUCCUUUCUCCUCUUCCAUUUCAAAUGGAUUACUUUCAUUAAAUGCUUUCACAACUUUUUUUUACACAAAUCAAAAGAGAGAUCCUGGUUUCUUUGGAGACCUG
This is a long non-coding RNA of Cygnus olor (mute swan), 1787 nucleotides long. RefSeq lists it as uncharacterized. Lineage: Eukaryota; Metazoa; Chordata; Aves; Anseriformes; Anatidae. The transcript has 7 exons. The record is from RefSeq and is a predicted model, not a curated record.